Molecule: long non-coding RNA, 458 nt
Organism: Eriocheir sinensis (Chinese mitten crab)
Lineage: Eukaryota; Metazoa; Arthropoda; Malacostraca; Decapoda; Varunidae
Exons: 3
Source: RefSeq, a predicted model, not a curated record
GGGGAGGACUUAAGAUGGGCAUUAAAGUUAAAAAUAGAAACAGCUUGCUAAUUUUCUUUAUGGGUUCAACUAACACUUUCGAAUCGGUGCUCGACCCAGGCCUGGAGCACCGCUUCACGAGGAAGUAAAUCUUCAUUCCCGACGAGACGAGCGGCGAGGCGGCACCGCGGCUCCAGGCGGGGCGGCGGCUCCUCCGACACCCGCGUCAUGCCCUUCAGCUUCCAGCAGCAGACGAGCGGCUGAACAGACACUCCCCGGGAUGUCUGAACGACAGCCAGGCUGGACUGAAUGAUCCAGCAGUUGCUGCAGGUGUGGCCAGGUGUUGCAACCCUCCAAUAAGCACCUGUACCAAUCUGGAUAGAGAUGUGUAGUUCACAGUGUAAGGACAAUCCAGUUGCCAGUCAAACAUCUGGCACUGUUCCCCAAAAGAGCUGACAAACUCCGAGCCAAGUUUUUUU